This 165-nucleotide small nuclear RNA is filed under the name Panthera leo (lion). RNAcentral describes it as "U2 spliceosomal RNA (ENSPLOG00000002131.1)". It matches the Rfam family "U2 spliceosomal RNA". Rfam says of the family: U2 is a small nuclear RNA (snRNA) component of the spliceosome (involved in pre-mRNA splicing). The record is from Rfam by way of RNAcentral. Lineage: Eukaryota; Metazoa; Chordata; Mammalia; Carnivora; Felidae.
AUCGCUUCUCGGCCUUUUGGCUAAGAUCAAGUGUAGUAUUUUUGGUGCAGUUGUAAAUGGGAUUGUUUAUUUACUUUCCCUUUUGGCUGCUUCAUUAUUAGUGUAUACAAAUGCAAUGGAUUUCUGUGUAUUGAUUUUGUAUCCUGCAACUUUACUGAAUUCAUU